This 451-nucleotide ribosomal RNA is filed under the name uncultured bacterium. RNAcentral's name for it is "partial 16S ribosomal RNA". It matches the Rfam family "Bacterial small subunit ribosomal RNA", at positions 28 to 507 of the family's 1533-position model. The record is from RNAcentral.
GAUGAAUGCUGGCGGCGUGCCUAACACAUGCAAGUCGAGCGGCAGCGAGGGGUGCUUGCACCCUGUCGGCGAGCGGCGAACGGCUGGGUAACGCGUAGGAAUUUGCCCCAAAGUGAGGAAUAACUGCCCGAAAGGGUAGCUAAUGCCGCAUAUGGUCUUCGGAUUAAAGGAUUUAUCCGCUUUGGGAGAAGCCUGCGUUGGAUUAGGUUGUUGGUAGGGUAAUGGCCUACCAAGCCGACGAUCCAUAGCUGGUCUGAGAGGAUGAUCAGCCAGACUGGAACUGAGACACGGUCCAGACUCCUACGGGAGGCAGCAGUGAGGAAUCUUCCACAAUGGGCGAAAGCCUGAUGGAGCAACGCCGCGUGAAGGAUGAAGGCCUUCGGGUUGUAAACUUCUUUUAUGAGUGAAGAAUAUGACGGUAACUCAUGAAUAAGCACCGGCUAACUACGUG